GCCAGCAGGGCAAGACCGACUAAGGCCUCAUCACGAUGACCACCAAUGUGGCUCUCUCACGACCUAGUAUUGAUUAUAUGAGGUGACUCACAACUGCAGCAGCAAUAUGCACGCACCCUAAACCUGCAUAUGUAUGUUUGAGUAUUACAUCAUUCUUUGCGAGCUAGGGUGUCCGGAUAAUCGAGAUUCUACUGUACUUUGUUUGAACAUGUGGAAAACACGGCAUUAUCGAUACCUUACAGGGUGCGUAUCACGAGGUAUUUGUGGGGGCGUGCUUUGAACUGGUAUCAGGUUCCAGUCAGUUAUCUCCUCUGGCACUUCCUCACCGAAGGACAGGCAUACUCCACCGCCGUGGAGGCGUGUCUAGAGAAGUCAUGUGACUACCUGUUCACCGUAGACUCUCUGGCAAUGCUCACACAACCAUACACUCUGCAGCGGCUGAUAGAGGUCAACAGGAAUGUGGUGUCCCCCAUGUUGGUGAGACGUAUCGAC
Long non-coding RNA from Halichondria panicea, 492 nucleotides. RefSeq lists it as uncharacterized. NCBI's taxonomy places the organism in Eukaryota, Metazoa, Porifera, Demospongiae, Suberitida, Halichondriidae. The transcript is spliced from 4 exons. The record is from RefSeq and is a predicted model, not a curated record.